GAAAAAUGAACGUGGCCUUCGGACACAGGGUGGUCCCUUGCCAGGGACUGGAUGGAACUGGUUCAAUUCCCCGCUCCUGGGCUUCCUGGUGUGCAACGUGAGCCAUGCUCACCCCAGGGUGGCUGGGAAAAAACGCCGGUCCGCUCUGAGCAUUCGUUUCAGUGAUGGCUGUUCUUGUUCACGUGAGAUGUGCCAACUCUACAAUACUAAACCGUUGGGAGAAGCUUCAAGGGGACAGCACCUGGGGAGGGGCAGUGGCGGGCUCCAGGUUGCCCAAGGCUGUCAUGGAGAGGAGGAGACCCCAGUCCAGCCCAGCCUUGUGCCUGCAGUGGAGGUUCCAGUUGUGAAGGGGCUCCAAGUGCCUUGUUCAUCCUUUGCUUGAUAAUGAACCACCUCUGCCAGGUGCCAGCUGUACUGUGCACCUGCAGCUCCACACCCUCUAGGCACCAGCCCCUCCACUCUUUGGCCUCUUCGACAGGGAACCCCGAGGGGACAGUGGAGCAGGCCUGGGGCUGUUCCAGGCAGCAGGGGGGCGCCUGGGUCAGCGUCCCCACCCGCUGCCCUCCCCGGCCUUCCAACUUGCUGUGUGCACAUUAACAACAUGGACGGUCUUUUUCUUUUAUUAUAAAAGUGAUUCAUUCUCUUGUGAAGAUUUAAAUAUGAAAGAGUGGAUCUCCGCUAAUCCCACCCGGUGAUGAUAGCAGCCGACAGAUGGGCGAGCAUAGAGCUCAGACAUUGCCAGCAGCGUCAGAUCCUUAUAUAUCCAGAGCACGGCUCACACGCCACCGCCCUGCUGGCUCUGUCAGCCGCAUGGUCCUCCGCGACACCUGGGGCUCUCCCUCCUUCCUUUGUGUGCACAACCUCAAAGCCAUUUUUUCCAGACUUGGCGUGAAGAUGAUUUUCUGACACGUUGAUGCUUCUGAAGCACAAGGAGGGCCCUGUCUCCACGGUGUCCAAGCAGAGGCUGACAUCCUUUCAGGAGGGAGGUGAUUCGGGCGCAGCUGGGCUGGCGGGAGGCAUGGAGGCUGAGUCCCCUUCCUCACUGCUCUCUACCUCCCAAGAGAGGGGGAGCCUCCUGUUAAGCAUCCAAGUCCCAAGUCACCGGCCGGCAUCGGCUGCAGCUCUCUGUGUGUGGAGACAUCUCAUUCUGGUGUCUUCUUUACACAGGUCAGCGCUCACAGGCUCGGCUGUGUCUCAAGACCCAAUUCCUUCGAGUCACUGAGAUGCCCAAGGACAAGGGCAACAGAGAGUGUGAAAAGCUGGAGUAGACAGGACAGAAAACAGGGUGCAGCGUCCCCCAGGUUGGCAGAUAGCCCAGCCCCAGGGACCCCACAGCCAUGGCAACCUGUGUGAAUGAGCCCCAGGAGCAGGGCAGUACACGAUCUGCGCGACUGUGCGGGGCAGCCCUGGGUCUCUGCCUCAGGGGAGAGAUUGUGUCCUCGCCUUUUGUGGUUUCUAGAGGUUCCUGCCCUCCUUGGCUGCACGGCAUCUCCCAGCCUCUCUCUCCCUUCCGUCGUCCCCUCUCCUCCUCUGACCCUGACCCUCCCAGUCCCUCUUAGAGGGGCUGUGAUUAAACUGUGCCCACCCUGACCAUCCAGAAUAAUCUCCCAUCUCAAGGUCCUUAACAGCAUGUGGAACUGCACUAGCCGCCCCAAGGCCCCCAAAAGGCAACCCUGGAUUGGGCCCCCCAAGUUGCCUGGGAUUCAUGGCCACCACCCGGCUCGACGGCUCCAGACCGAAAUGCACCCAGUUAUAG
RNAcentral lists this long non-coding RNA (1756 nucleotides) under Homo sapiens (human). RNAcentral's name for it is "non-protein coding lnc-NTSR1-1:2". The record is from RNAcentral. Lineage: Eukaryota; Metazoa; Chordata; Mammalia; Primates; Hominidae.